GUUUGCAACAUCAUACAGGGACUAAUUCAACCAAGUUGGCAAGUCAAAGGUAUUAUGGAUCAAAUCAAAGAAUGCAUUACAAGGUUUACUAGCUGCAAAGUGAAGCACAUCUUCAGAGAGGCCAACUCAGAUAAAAAUGAUUUUUAUAUAAACUGGUAGGGGUCUGCCUUAACCCCAGCUUGCAUUUUGCAACAAAAAAAAAAACAUACAUUACACAAAGUUCAGAUGAUUAGAUGAAGGUUACAUUGUAGUUUUAGUGCAGUCAGACCAAUAGCGCAAGCCCCUAUUCAUUGGGCCUGCUAACAUGGAUUUCAACCUUACUUAACCAACACUUGGCCGGUAUUU
RNAcentral lists this long non-coding RNA (345 nucleotides) under Aquilegia coerulea. RNAcentral describes it as "long non-coding RNA (ACOE_LNC000967)". Lineage: Eukaryota; Viridiplantae; Streptophyta; Magnoliopsida; Ranunculales; Ranunculaceae. The record is from RNAcentral.